UAAAACUCUGCCAACUACCGAUCCGUCGAUGGUAAUUUAGCCUUGAUGGGGAGGUAAUCGGAAACGAAAGUCUUCCGGUUCCGGGGGAAGUAUGGUUGCAAAGCUGAAACUUAAAGAAAUUGACGGAAGGGCACCACCAGGAGUGGAGCCUGCGGCUUAAUUUGACUCAACACGGGAAAACUCACCCGGCCCGGACACUGUAAGGAUUGACAGAUUGAAAGCUCUUUCUUGAUUCGGUGGAUGGUGGUGCAUGGCCGUUCUUAGU
Molecule: ribosomal RNA, 265 nt
Filed under: Steinernema glaseri
Lineage: Eukaryota; Metazoa; Nematoda; Chromadorea; Rhabditida; Steinernematidae
Description: partial 18S ribosomal RNA
Rfam family: Eukaryotic small subunit ribosomal RNA
Source: RNAcentral